This 301-nucleotide ribosomal RNA is filed under the name uncultured bacterium. Its description in RNAcentral is "partial 16S ribosomal RNA". It matches the Rfam family "Bacterial small subunit ribosomal RNA", at positions 509 to 809 of the family's 1533-position model. The record is from RNAcentral.
CAGCCGCCGCGGGAAUACGAAGGGUGCAAGCGUUACUCGGAAUUACUGGGCGUAAAGCGUGCGUAGGUGGUGGUUUAAGUCCGUUGUGAAAGCCCUGGGCUCAACCUGGGAAUUGCAGUGGAUACUGGGUCACUAGAGUGUGGUAGAGGAUAGUGGAAUUUCCGGUGUAGCAGUGAAAUGCGUAGAGAUCGGAAGGAACAUCUGUGGCGAAGGCGACUAUCUGGGCCAACACUGACACUGAGGCACGAAAGCGUGGGGAGCAAACAGGAUUAGAUACCCGUGUAGUCCCUGUCUCUUAUAA